RNAcentral lists this ribosomal RNA (478 nucleotides) under uncultured bacterium. Its description in RNAcentral is "partial 16S ribosomal RNA". It matches the Rfam family "Bacterial small subunit ribosomal RNA", at positions 28 to 507 of the family's 1533-position model. The record is from RNAcentral.
GAUGAACGCUGGCGGCGUGCCUAACACAUGCAAGUCGAACGGAGUCCAGCCUUUAAGACCUUCGGGUCAAAGAGGGGAAGACUGAGUGGCGGACGGGUGAGUAACACGUGGGCAACCUGGCUCAUAGAGGGGGAUAACAGAGAGAAAUUUCUGCUAAUACCGCAUAAGCACACACUGCCGCAUGGCAGAGGGUGAAAAGAGAAUCGCUAUGAGAUGGACCCGCGUCUGAUUAGCCAGUUGGCAGGGUAAGAGCCUACCAAAGCGACGAUCAGUAGCCGAUCUGAGAGGAUGAACGGCCACAUUGGGACUGAGACACGGCCCAAACUCCUACGGGAGGCAGCAGUGGGGGAUAUUGCACAAUGGGGGGAACCCUGAUGCAGCGACGCCGCGUGAGUGAAGAAGUAUUUCGGUAUGUAAAGCUUUAUCAGCAGGGAAGAUAAUGACAGUACCUGAAUAAGAAGCCCCGGCUAACUACGUG